AGACCCCGUGAACCUUUACUAUAGCUUGACACUGAACAUUGAGCCUUGAUGUGUAGGAUAGGUGGGAGGCUUUGAAGUGUGGACGCCAGUCUGCAUGGAGCCGACCUUGAAAUACCACCCUUUAAUGUUUGAUGUUCUAACGUUGGCCCCUAAUCGGGGUUGCGGACAGUGUCUGGUGGGUAGUUUGACUGGGGCGGUCUCCUCCUAAAGAGUAACGGAGGAGCACGAAGGUUGGCUAAUCCUGGUCGGACAUCAGGAGGUUAGUGCAAUGGCAUAAGCCAGCUUGACUGCGAGCGUGACGGCGCGAGCAGGUGCGAAAGCAGGUCAUAGUGAUCCGGUGGUUCUGAAUGGAAGGGCCAUCGCUCAACGGAUAAAAGGUACUCCGGGGAUAACAGGCUGAUACCGCCCAAGAGUUCAUAUCGACGGCGGUGUUUGGCACCUCGAUGUCGGCUCAUCACAUCCUGGGGCUGAAGUAGGUCCCAAGGGUAUGGCUGUUCGCCAUUUAAAGUGGUACGCGAGCUGGGUUUAGAACGUCGUGAGACAGUUCGGUCCCUAUCUGCCGUGGGCGCUGGAGAACUGAGGGGGGCUGCUCCUAGUACGAGAGGACCGGAGUGGACGCAUCACUGGUGUUCGGGUUGUCAUGCCAAUGGCACUGCCCGGUAGCUAAAUGCGGAAGAGAUAAGUGCUGAAAGCAUCUAAGCACGAAACUUGCCCCGAGAUGAGUUCUCCCUGACUCCCUGAGAGUCCUGAAGGA
Molecule: ribosomal RNA, 754 nt
Filed under: Escherichia coli
Lineage: Bacteria; Pseudomonadati; Pseudomonadota; Gammaproteobacteria; Enterobacterales; Enterobacteriaceae
Description: partial 23S ribosomal RNA
Rfam family: Bacterial large subunit ribosomal RNA
Source: RNAcentral